CUCUAGAGCCCACACCCCUAAUCACUUACAAAAGUCUCCUCCUAACAAAUCAUACUGCUAACUGCUCUCAUUUUGAAUCACUCACUAAACCCCUCAGACCACAUGGCCCCUUCAAAACCCAAGACAUAUGGAUUAUAAUCCCAUUUGCAAAGAAGGCUGAGGCUCAGAGGGAUGCUGUGGGGUGUCCCAGGACACACUUCCAGGAAAGACCGGAGGACAAACCAGCCUCAGCGGAGAGGUGCAGUGGCAGUACUACCCUUUUGCAUCGGGCACAGCGGAGGUGCUCAGCUGUCUAGGCUGGCUCAAUGGACCCCACGCCCUAGUCCCAGCUCUGCUAGCUCGUCUCACCUCACCUGCUGGUGUACUGUCCUGUGUACCGCCUCCCCACUAGACUACAGGCUCCAUGAAGGCAGAGAACUGUCCACGACCGAGAAUUCUGUCCAUCCUCCUGCAUCCCAGCACCAGGAACAGGGCCUCACGCAUGCAAUUGCUUGUGGAAGGAGCAGCCCGCAGAACACAAGGCCUCUCACCCUCUGCUCACCUACAGCUUCCAGACCCAGGCCCUCCUCUCAAGGGUGGAUCUAGGGACCAGGAUAAGGAUGGAAGAGAAGAAAGACACAUAAGACCCCAAAUAUGGGUCUCUCGCUGCCACCACUGCCCUCCCCGCAGGACUUCUGUCUCCAGCAGAGCCCUGCUCUACGGACUUAAAACCACUGCCAUCCUGUGGCACCUGACUUCAGUCUUCUGAGCUCAAGGAAAAGAUUACCUACUAGUUGAGACAUGUGGGGUGGAAAAGGGAAAAAAAGAGAAUGGCAGUGGGAUGGAGUGAGGGAAGAUAGCAUGGGAUCCCUGCAUGCUAGGCACCUGGCUUUUGUUCUCUCACAGAGACCCUCUGAGUAGUUAGCAAGGUGUCCAUUUCACAGAGGAGGACACGGGUUCAAAAAUACUCCUAAUUUGCUCAAAGCCAAGACUGGGAGACACACGGGUAACAGUCAUUUCUCAUCAGCCUGAGUGCUGCUGGUGGCCAGUGGCACAGAGGACCACCACACACCCUCUUGGAGAGACCCCACCCUGACGCUGUGAAGCUAUAUGCUGACACCCCACACCCAAGGCGUGGAGAGCCAGCACUGCCUCUGGGGUCUGAUUGAGCCUCGAACGCUUUCUCUUUCCAUUCCACUGGUCUGCUGUCGUGGGGCAGAGAUUUGUGCUUCAUUGAUAUUCUUGGUUCCCUUCAUUGUGUGUGUCUCAGGUACAGAGCUGUCUUUGGCACAAGGCUAAAAUAAGCCAACAGCUCGGCCGUGGCCAAGGGCUGGGAUGCGCACUGUAAUAAUUAUCCAGGACUUGUGCUCACCACAUGCUGCCCUGAAGCUCACCUGUCAUUUCUUCUAAUUAUGGCACUGCCAGACCCCAGGUAAACAGUAAACGGCAGCCAGAAGAUGGCUUUAUUGCACACCCGCUAGGAGCACAGCAAUGUCCCAGAGCCACAUAUGCCUGCCGUCUGGAGUUGAUGGCAUCGGAACUGCCUGUGGGGGUGGCCGGCAAGCUACCCACUCAGAACCCAACUCCAACAGAAGUGCCAGGAAGCUCCAGAUGCCUUCCCUAAUAGGAGUCCCGUUAUGUUAGAGGUCUCCCUCAGAUACCUCAGUGCUUAGGAGCGACCACACAUGUCUCUCAUCCUGACCUUACCCCCUGGGUAAGGCAUGUAUAUCAUCAUACUCCCAGCACUAUAAGGCAGUGCCCGCCACCUCCCCUCCCCCAGCAAUCCUAACUUGGCAGGUCUGGGCUAGGGCCAGGAUCUAAGAAAACUGAUGUACAGUCCACAGACCACAGACCACACUCAGAGAAAUGCUGGUCUAAGGAAGAUGAUGGACUGUAGAACAGAGGGGGUGAGAGCUUGCCCAACGUCACACAGGCUACCUAAGCCAGUCCUUACUCUAAUCAUUCAACCCACAUCUGCAUCUCAUCCCUGCCAUUUCUAGGUUGUGACACUCUCAGCAAACUACUUACUCCCUGGGCCUCACCUGGCAAAUAGGAGUAAUAAUACUAUUCCAUAUGAUUACUAUGAAGAUUAAAUCAUGGAUACUAGAUGCUUAGCACAGUGCCUGGGAUGCUGAUGGUGCUCAGUACACAUUUGGAUGUGGUAGCCAGCCUCUGUGGCCAUCUUCUGGGGUUUGCACUUUGUGUUGUCUGCUCCCAAACUAUACUAUAUCAGGACCGUGUUACUAAAAGAACAUAGUAGACAUGGAGAUAUGUCACUUCCAAAAUCAGGUGAUAAGACAAUAUGCUUUCCAUCUUGGUGCCUCUUUCUCUGAUCACUUACUCUGGGGGAAGCCAGCUGUCAUAUUGUAGGCAGCCCUAUGGGAAGGCCCAUGUGGCAAGGAACUAAAACCUCCUGCUAACAGCCAUGUGCAUAAGCUUAGAAGUGGACUCUCUGGCCCAGUCAAGCCUUCUGAUGAGUACAGCCCCAGCAGAUAGCUUGACUGACACUUUAUGGGAUCUCUGAGCCAGAACUACCCAGCUAAGCCACUCCCCAAAUUCUUUUUUUUUUUUUUUUUUUUAAGUAAGCAGUACACCCAAUGUGGGCUUGAAUUCACAACCCUGAGGUCAAGAGUCAUAUGCUCCACUGACUGAGCCAGCCAUACUCCCACUCCAAAUUCUUGACCCUCAGAAACUGUAUGAGAGAUUUGUCGUGUUAAGUUGCUAGGUUUUGGGGCACUCUGUUAUGCAGCAAUAGCUUACUGAUACAGUGAAAUAAACAAAUGGAAAAACUAAAUCACCUUAAAAUAUGUGAUGGUCACAGAUCCAUAGUGCCCCAUAUCCCAAAAUACUCCUGAGUUGAGUCAAAAGAGCCGUCCAACACAGGCAUAACUUUUGAGUUCAAUGGUUCCCUUCAGCUAUUUAUUCACUAGCCGAACAUUUGCUGAACACUUCCUCUCUGCCAGAUGGGUUCACACCUCAUGACACAAAGUCUCUACUCUCAUCAAGAAGGGGCACUGAAUAUAUGCUGGGAUGGCUGACAGAUGUGCCCCUAGUAAAAAUACUAGGUGAUAAGCUGUGUGCCAGAGAGCACCAAGGAGAGGCACCUACAUCCAAUAGGAAUUCCUCCAAGGAAAUGAUCAGAGAUGACCUCAAAGACCUAGGUACUAAGGUGGUCAGUGCAAUGUAGCUCGUCCUAAAACUGAAAUCUAAAUGUCCAACAGUAAGAACAGUUGACAGUUAAACAUUGCCCAUUACAUAUAGGCAGGCUGCUCAGUUUCCCCUACAGGGUAGGAGUGAGGGGUUCAAUGACAUGACUCACAAAGCCCAUUAUCCUCAUCUUAUCCUAAAACGACUGGACAGAAGGAGCCCACAGUUUGCAAGGAUCAAGAGUAAGGCAUGAGCCACAUCUGUGCAAUGCACUACCACAUAGCCAUUAAAAAUCAAGUCAAAGGAGAGGUGCUUUGGUGGUUCAGUCGGUUGAAUGUCCAACUCUUGGUUUUGACUCAGGUCAUGAUCUCAGGAUUAUAGAAUCAAGCUC
Canis lupus familiaris (dog) is the source of this 3517-nucleotide long non-coding RNA. RefSeq lists it as uncharacterized. The record is from RefSeq and is a predicted model, not a curated record. The transcript is spliced from 3 exons. NCBI's taxonomy places the organism in Eukaryota, Metazoa, Chordata, Mammalia, Carnivora, Canidae.